GGGUCACCCAGCAAGUAAUGAUCAGAGCGUGGAAUCCUGCCUCCUAACUUCAGAAUGCCUGCUCUCAUCACUAGCGCCACAAGGUUCUUCGGGGAUACCGUGCACGUGCACAAAGCUUAAAAAAUAGAUCAUGUUGUUGGUGCACCAUAUUCAUGAGAAAAGUUGUGGGAAGCUACUGCAAGAGAACACGGGCUCCCACUGCCAGUUUCUGCAUAUAUGAGAGGGAGGCUGGCGGCAGGAUGGAUGGGGCCUCUUUGAAGGGGAACAUGCGAUCUGAAAUGCAAUCAUCCUUGGGAGCCAGAGAAUGGCAGUGCCUGGACCCAGGAGAAGAGCAAUUCAGGCUCGUGAACACAAGAAAUGGAAAAAGCCAGGUCUGGAUGAAUCAUGUAAUUGUGUGA
This 398-nucleotide long non-coding RNA is filed under the name Mustela putorius furo (domestic ferret). Its description in RNAcentral is "lncRNA (ENSMPUG00000030779.1)". The record is from RNAcentral. Lineage: Eukaryota; Metazoa; Chordata; Mammalia; Carnivora; Mustelidae.